UAUCUGACUUGAACAAUUAAUUGCUAAGGUGUGUUGGUUGAGAUAGCUGGGAAAAGAAGCUUCCACGGCCAUUAUUUAUUUAUAAGCUCCUCAGCUGGAUCCAUAUAUUUUUGCUCAAAACUUUACUGCCAUACUUAGCUUAACGCCAGGCUAGGCCAGCAUGAGUUAUCAGCAAGUUCCAUAUGAGGCACCUGGACCUGGCUAUGAAGAACCGCCGCCGACUCACGUCCACCAUCACCACCACCACCAAUAUCCACAAGCAGAAGAAGGGCCUCCGCCGCCGGGGUAUUAUGAACCUUCGCCGCCACCGCCUCCUCUCGUAGAGGCCCCCGAGGACGACGAGCACCACGGUUUCUGUUCGUGUUUGAAACGCUGUUUGAGUUGUCUUCUUUGCUGCUGGUGCUGCUAGGCAACGCCGCCGCAUAUAUAUAUGCAUCAACCAAUUCAAUAUAUAUUGUGAUUGUAUUUGUCGUGUAUGUACUUUAAUUCGGAACAGCUCGUGUGGAAUCGCAUCAAUCCUCCUAAUAAAUUAUUGUAUCAUCACUUUAAUUUGCUUGUACUGCUGCUAAAGUUAUAUUGUACUGUGUUACAUUCUUCUAAUUACUUUUACUGAAAUAAUUAUAAUUUGUUUUAUAUA
Molecule: long non-coding RNA, 637 nt
Organism: Ipomoea triloba (trilobed morning glory)
Lineage: Eukaryota; Viridiplantae; Streptophyta; Magnoliopsida; Solanales; Convolvulaceae
Exons: 2
Source: RefSeq, a predicted model, not a curated record